UAAAAUAGGUAUGUAUAUAUCUACAUUGGAUUCCCCUCACAGAAAAGACAAAAAAAAAAGAGGAGAAAUCUGAUCUCUCUCACACAAAAUCUCCCAACGUCUCUCUCCAUUGUCCCUGCUCCACUCCCAACAAACUCACAAUCCACUCUGAAAAUCCUCAGAACCACUACUAACAACCUCACUCACUCACUCAAUUGAGAUCUCUCAGACAAAAGACGUUACACAAAUAAUAAAUAGAAAAACCUUUUCCUCUUCCCAGGACACCUUGCUCACCUCUCUCACACGCACAAACCACACAAUUUUUACUCUGAAAAAU
RNAcentral lists this long non-coding RNA (316 nucleotides) under Lathyrus oleraceus (garden pea). Its description in RNAcentral is "Pisum sativum (pea) long non-coding RNA (PSAT_LNC039907)". Lineage: Eukaryota; Viridiplantae; Streptophyta; Magnoliopsida; Fabales; Fabaceae. The record is from RNAcentral.